Molecule: transfer RNA, 72 nt
Filed under: Ictidomys tridecemlineatus (thirteen-lined ground squirrel)
Lineage: Eukaryota; Metazoa; Chordata; Mammalia; Rodentia; Sciuridae
Description: Spermophilus tridecemlineatus (thirteen-lined ground squirrel) tRNA
Rfam family: tRNA
About the family: Transfer RNA (tRNA) molecules are approximately 80 nucleotides in length. Their secondary structure includes four short double-helical elements and three loops (D, anti-codon, and T loops).
Source: Rfam by way of RNAcentral
UGGGAUGUAGCUCAGUGGUAGAGCACUCAUUUAGCAUGUGUGGGGUCCUGGGUUCGGUUCCCAGCAACACUG